Molecule: long non-coding RNA, 643 nt
Organism: Triticum aestivum (bread wheat)
Lineage: Eukaryota; Viridiplantae; Streptophyta; Magnoliopsida; Poales; Poaceae
Exons: 3
Source: RefSeq, a predicted model, not a curated record
GUCCUUUUCUAAUCUGCUGCAAACGGUUUUCGGCUGGUGGGCUCGACGUCGUGUUCGUCCCUGAGCAGAUGGGCGGCGUGACGUUCGGCGGCUGCCUAGGUCUCGAGCGGCGCCGUGGUUGGUGAUGGUUCCAUGACGGUGCAGGCUUAACGGCGUGAGCUCUCCGGGUUCUUGGAUACCGGGAAACGCAGCGGGGAUGCAACGACUACGAACUCUUCCUGCCCCGGCGACGGCGGUGCUGCUCCAUCUCGCCGGGUACGUCGAUGUCACGGUUGAUAUUCUAAAGAUGCUUGUAAGGUGCCUUAUCUAUAUUAUUUUACUGAUGCUGACUAAUCAAAGACUGCCUACACAACUUCUCUUGUAUAAAUAAAAGAAAAAGUUGGCUUACUGACGCAUCAACUUCCUGAUGCAUAUACAGUGCAGGAGGAUACAGAUAUGGGCACAACAAUGGAGCUAAUACUUCUACGAACAUGGUCAAUCCCUAAGAACAUUUUUGUUACAAAAGCUGGAUUUCGCUAAGACUGGAGGUGUCAACCUAAAUGCACAUAUAUCACACGGAAUGACAGCAGUCGAAAACCAUUUUAUCUGCAUUGUAUAAUUUUCCACACAGAUUAAUUACAAUAUUUAUUCUAUGUGCAUGAGU